GCGGCGGUCGCCCAACGGGUGGGGCACCAGCCUCUUAAGCUGAAUUGUGUGGGUUCGAGUCCCACCCGCCGCACCA
Molecule: transfer RNA, 76 nt
Filed under: Planctomycetota bacterium
Lineage: Bacteria; Pseudomonadati; Planctomycetota
Description: tRNA-Lys
Rfam family: tRNA
About the family: Transfer RNA (tRNA) molecules are approximately 80 nucleotides in length. Their secondary structure includes four short double-helical elements and three loops (D, anti-codon, and T loops).
Source: RNAcentral